UUCCGUAGGUGAACCUGCGGAAGGAUCAUUACCGAGUGAGGACCCUUUGGGUCCAACCUCCCACCCGUGUUUAUUUUACCUUGUUGCUUCGGCGGGCCCGCCUUUACUGGCCGCCGGGGGGCUCACGCCCCCGGGCCCGCGCCCGCCGAAGACACCCCCGAACUCUGUCUGAAGAUUGAAGUCUGAGUGAAAAUAUAAAUUAUUUAAAACUUUCAACAACGGAUCUCUUGGUUCCGGCAUCGAUGAAGAACGCAGCGAAAUGCGAUACGUAAUGUGAAUUGCAAAUUCAGUGAAUCAUCGAGUCUUUGAACGCACAUUGCGCCCCCUGGCAUUCCGGGGGGCAUGCCUGUCCGAGCGUCAUUGCUGCCCUCAAGCCCGGCUUGUGUGUUGGGCCCCGUCCUCCGAUUCCGGGGGACGGGCCCGAAAGGCAGCGGCGGCACCGCGUCCGGUCCUCGAGCGUAUGGGGCUUUGUCACCCGCUCUGUAGGCCCGGCCGGCGCUUGCCGAUCAACCCAAAUUUUUAUCCAGGUGACCUCGGAU
Molecule: small RNA, 539 nt
Filed under: Penicillium polonicum
Lineage: Eukaryota; Fungi; Ascomycota; Eurotiomycetes; Eurotiales; Aspergillaceae
Description: eukaryotic LSU rRNA
Rfam family: 5.8S ribosomal RNA (bases 208-360)
Source: RNAcentral